RNAcentral lists this small RNA (310 nucleotides) under Arabidopsis thaliana (thale cress). Its description in RNAcentral is "ATSL120350". Lineage: Eukaryota; Viridiplantae; Streptophyta; Magnoliopsida; Brassicales; Brassicaceae. The record is from RNAcentral.
AUUGAAAAGUAUUUUAAUUAAACCAAUGAUUGAAUGACAACUGUGAGAAACGUUGUCGAUAAGUUUCUCUUGGUUUCUCUAAAGAGAAACUUUCCCUUACCUCUCUCCUCCUUUGGACAUUUCUUUUCUUAUUUUAUUGGUGAGAGAUUUUAUGAGAAACUCCCGUUGGAGUUGGUCUGACACAGGCGGCCCUAGGUUCUAGAACGGUAUAACGAGAAACCAACGUACGACGAGAGACCAAAAAGUAAUAUUAACAUAUACGAUCUUACAAAAAGUACUCAUUAUUGGAAGUUUGGGGCAACAUCACAAG